Molecule: long non-coding RNA, 1049 nt
Filed under: Salvia miltiorrhiza (redroot sage)
Lineage: Eukaryota; Viridiplantae; Streptophyta; Magnoliopsida; Lamiales; Lamiaceae
Description: long non-coding RNA (SMIL_LNC005469)
Source: RNAcentral
GAAACAAUACUGUUUCGUUACUAUGCUUAUGUGUAGCUAUGUCUUUUCUGCUGUUCUUGAUUGUUCCUUUUAUACACAAGGAAUUGAUUGAAUUGUAUACAAGAAAACUACCUGCUUUGCUUUGUCUGCUUUCUUGAUUGUUCCUUUUAUACACAAGGAAUUGAUUGAAUUGUAUACAAGAAAACUACCUGCUUUGCUUGAUGCUGCUGCUGGGGAAUGAUUGUGGUUGAGUUGUGGUUGAGUUAUAUUUGGGAUUGCUGGUGUAUUUAAGAUUUGCAGAAAUGAGUAAAGAAUUUGCUGAAAAUGAGUUAAAAAAAAUGGUCAGACAUGAGAGAAAAGAGAUUUUAUACUGGUUUGGAGUCGGUUAUUGAGUAGCUGCGUCAAAGUCGAAGGCUACGUGCCAGAUGAGGAACUAAUCUGGAGUUAAUAAAUCUCACUAUCUAAUUUGGAGUUAAUAAUCAAUCAAUUAAUCAUAUACCUAAAUUGGGCUCGGUUACUCCAGCCCAAAUAUAACUAUUGGGCUUCCUACUUUUACACCACUCUUGGCCCAUUUAAACAAUUAUUGGGUUGUUUUCUAGUUGAAUAGAAAAAGUAUUUCGGUUCGUAAUAUAAAUUAAAACUUUUAGCUCAUCUCUAUAAUGUCUAAUCUAAUUUAUUAAGGUUUAAUAUCUACUUAAUCAAUUAAUCCUGUAUGAAACAGAUUUGCUGAGAUUCUCAACUCAAUUAGUAUAUUAAAAUCUAAUGUCUCAACUAAUUAGCCAUAUACUAACAGAUAAUGACAUGAUUAGGGUGGGGCUAUUACAAGUGGAUGUUGGAUAAAUGCUAAAAUAAAAUGCCAAAGUUGUUUGCCUCAAAAAAAAAAAAAAAAAAAUGCCAAAGUUGUAAUAGUAUUAUACCACCGAUAUCUUGUGCAUAAACCAAAAUACUUAAAUAAUAUCAAACCACACAUAAGCAUAAAGAAACCAAAUACAAAUAGCAAUGCCAACACUAUUGUCUUCUCAGUUGAUUCCUGAUAACUCUUCUUGCAUGUCUUCUUCUUNUCUUUCAUC